RNAcentral lists this ribosomal RNA (465 nucleotides) under uncultured bacterium. RNAcentral's name for it is "partial 16S ribosomal RNA". It matches the Rfam family "Bacterial small subunit ribosomal RNA", at positions 28 to 507 of the family's 1533-position model. The record is from RNAcentral.
GACGAACGCUGGCGGCGUGCUUAACACAUGCAAGUCGUACGGUAAGGCCCUUUCGGGGGUCCACGAGUGGCGAACGGGUGAGUAACACGUGAGUAACCUGCCCACAACUUUGGGAUAACGCUAGGAAACUGGUGCUAAUAUUGGAUAUGUGCUCCUGCUGCAUGGUGGGGGUUGGAAAGCUCCGGCGGUUGUGGAUGGACUCGCGGCCUAUCAGCUUGUUGGUGGGGUAGUGGCCUACCAAGGCGGCGACGGGUAGCCGGCCGGAGAGGGUGACCGGCCACAUUGGGACUGAGAUACGGCCCAGACUCCUACGGGAGGCAGCAGUGGGGAAUAUUGCACAAUGGGCGCAAGCCUGAUGCAGCAACGCCGCGUGCGGGAUGACGGCCUUCGGGUUGUAAACCGCUUUCAGCAGGGACGAAGCUUUUUGUGACGGUACCUGCAGAAGAAGCACCGGCUAACUACGUG